AGGAGGGGGGAAAAAAAGAAAAGAAAAGCACAUAUCAUAUUCUGGACAUGUAACCAAACACUGAGAGCAAACAAAAAGAUAAAUAAAUCACAUUGCCCUUCACUGUUUCAAGCCUCUCAAAAAUGAUUAAAUUUAGUACAUGACUCACAGAUCGCUCCCUGGUUUAGGAAGAUGGAAAUAAAACUUUGAAGCAAUCCUCUUCUAAUAGGUUAAAUAUUAAUGAAGUUUGGGUCACGUGAGGCAAAUCCGCUUCACCCCCAUAUGACUCGUAGACGUAGUUAUUAAAAAAAUAAAACCUAUCUGUGCUUCUCUUAUGGUGGUUUGAUUGUGUUUCUGAACUCUUAAUUCAUCACACUUCACAUCUCGCUGAUGACCUUCCUUUUUAAAGGAUCCCAUUUUCUCUUGAUCUCGUGCACCUUAAAAGCUUUUUUCUCGCCGCGAGUGAAGAGAAAUAUCGGAAAGAGAGCCGGGACCAAUUUUCGUGGAAAACAGAGGAACUCUAAAACAAUUGCACUCGCUAACAUGCCUUCCUGCUUUUCUUACUUCACUUUGAUAAAUAAAUCUCUCCUGAUCUCCGCCCCACCCUCCCCACCAAAAAAAAAAAAAAAGUUAGCGGCGGUCACACAAGACAUUUGCCAGGCAGUCCCAUAACAUAGGACAAGGGAACUAGAAGUGACAUUGUGGCUCGGGGCUGUCUCAAAGGAUUAGGCAUUACAGCAUUCACUGGAGAGAGCUGGAGGGUCGGAUAUGCGCUGAUAUGGUGCUUUGCCAUAUUGCACAGGCCUGUCAGUGAUGACAGGAUCAGGAAAAUGUCCAUCCAGCCUGCCUGCCUGCCUGUCUCCCUAGCCAGAUGGUCCUGCAGCUUCUUCCCUAACAUCCACAGGAAGCAGAUGUGAGAGGGAACAGGCCUCUCCAGAGAAUCUGGAAGAAGUCUGCCCUAACCCAGCAGCCCUAAACCGUCCCCUCCCCUUCAACCUUCUCUCCUCACCGAUUCCCCCGGCCUCUCCUCAGCUGUACCCCACCUCUGGACAUAUCAGCUGGCAUCUGGAGCACACAACACUCCAACAUCAGAGGAGGACACUGCCUCAAGCUCUACAACAGCCAACACCUGCAUUUUUUCCCCCCUUUUAUGCUCCGCUCUAUUACCUUUCACAGGAAUUUCUCAGGAUGUUGUUUCCCAUUUUCGAGGAUGAAAUCAACAACACCAGAAGCAGCACACAGCUGGAGACCAAGGCCGAGCCCGGGACAGCAACUACCCACAGGUGAGGCCUGCUUGCUGGGACAGCCUGGGUGCCAGGUGGCCUGACUGCCAGCAGGCUGAGCCACGUCUAAUCAAGGAUGUGGAGCCCAACUGGAGCUACCAACAUCUGCUCUCCUUGCACUUGGGUGGCUGAAGGCAAAGCCCUGCUCGGUGUGCACACAAGCCGAGUGACCUUGAGAUGAGGGAGAUCUUAGAAGACCAGAGGCUCCAAAUGAAAAAGGUUAAAGGAAUGAAUCAAAACUGAAAGAAAAAAAAAGUCCAAGUGACUCAAAAGACAUUACAAGAAUGUCAUGAGUGUCUGACAUCAAAUGGACCAUACACUCUCAGAGCAUAAAUAUGGCCGCUGUACCACUGUCAACCCCUCAUCACCGCUGCCAUUUGUUCAUAUCCUUUUGCCUCUGCCAGGACUUAACCAUUAGAUUGUUCAGCCCUCAGUACAGUGUGGCAGUCUACUGAGCAGCAAUCAACAGUGGUGCCGUUGUGUAAGUGAGAAAUGAUUGACAGCGUGCCAUGGUGCUCCCAUUUAUUUCUUCUCCGGAGCUGUUUUCUGUCAGAACGGCUAUUGAUUUUUCCAUAAAGUAAGAAAACAAGUACCGUUUAGGGGCUAGGGAGGUCAGCACAAAUUAAACCUGAAGAUGUAAAGCCUUCUCUCUGUCCCAUUAUGGGUUGCCUCAAAUGUCUUCUUCACACAUGUUUUAUGUGAUCAACAGAUAAUGAGAUCAGCAAAGGAAAUAUGUUAGGAAAGUCCACUGGAUGGCAUUAGAAAUGGUAAACAGGAUGCACGACGCUUCAAAAAACCCCGACUCUGUUCCUGUGUAUCUGACCAGCACUGAGAAGCAUUUGUGUAUUAUGUAUUAUAACUGUAACUGUAUUGCAGCAUUAUAUCCCUGACAACCCAACGAGUAUAACGUACAGAAACAGGAUAGGGUGUGUGUAUAUCAGCUACUGCCUCCUGAGUCGAGGUCCGUGUCUGAAACUGCUUCCUGAAUGCUAUGUACACUCUGCUAUUGUAUUCAAAUGUUAAAAUUCAGAAGUCCAAGCACGACAUGGUGUACUCAAAAAAUACUUCUAUUAUGACAAAUAAAUGCCACCGACAUGCACCACUGCCUAGAUACUGAAGAUGUCCUGCAUCUAUUAGAGUAAAAAUCAGUCAUUAAACAAACUAGGCUUUCAUAGCCUUGUACCAUUUGGUUUAGUGGUACUAAGAGACUGUCUCAUUUUAGCUAUAAUCACAAGCAGUUUUUCAGGUGUCAACUUGUUUUGUUUGUGCAACUAUGAUCUUCAAAAUAAAAAGAAAUAAGCAACCUUGGGGCCUGAAAAGUGAAGCCACUUUGUAAGGACCUAAAUCUGCAGUCCCUCUAGUGGCCACUAGAGGCUCACUCCAAAAGCAAAUCAAUCCUUGCAGACUUCCAUGUUAAAAUCCAGUAAAAACAAACAUGUUACACACUGGGCUUUUAUAGCAGGGCAGCUGUAUGGGGAUGCUUUCAAUUCUUAAUGACCUACUCAGUUACAUCUUAUAAAGGCUUAGAGUUUGCAUUAUAAGUGGCACGACCUCUCUGAAUACGUGGCUCUAGCCUCUAGCUUAGCGCUAGGCUUAACUUGAAGUAAUUUGAGUCACUGAACUGGACCAAGUCUCACCAUAUUUGUAGUGUUGUUACAUUUGGGAGCAGAUUGAAUGCAAUAUUUUAACAUAAUGGCACGUG
Oreochromis niloticus (Nile tilapia) is the source of this 2964-nucleotide long non-coding RNA. RefSeq lists it as uncharacterized. Lineage: Eukaryota; Metazoa; Chordata; Actinopteri; Cichliformes; Cichlidae. The record is from RefSeq and is a predicted model, not a curated record. The transcript has 3 exons.